CAUGAACUGCUUCCUUCAGUCUGAGGAGAAACCUCUCGCUACCUUGGGACUGGGCCUCCUGGGAAGAUCCCAGAACUCUCUUGAGAUCCAGCUCCUUCUCUCUGCCUGUGAUGACUCAAGAUCUGAAGCUCUUCUUGGCCGGUGACGCCGCCGGGACUCCUUCCGAUCGAGUACGCGGCGGGGCCAGAGCGGCUCGGUGCUGCCCCCUGCGGGCGCGGGACGCCAGGUUCUUUCCGCUCUGAGCCAGGCGGCAGGGGUGGGGCGGGGGGCGGCCCCACCCAGGUCCCCUGCAGAGACCUCACAGAGGGGGCCCCACUCCCUGUGCCACACGCACGGGCCGCCCUGGACACAGAUAUGCACACUGGGCACUCACAACGGUUCGCACAUAGACGCGUUCCAUCUUUUGUGAACGGAGUGGGGGGGUCAUACUCUGUGUGGGGUAUUCCAAGGAGGGCGAACCAAGGACACCUGCUGUCUCUCGGGAGCUGGCCUCAGGUGGAGGCCUUCCUGGCCUGGUGUCCAGAGAGGUCCCUCAGCCUGUCAUAUCCAAGGAGCCUGUGGAUUCUGGAGUUCUCAGGACCACAUGCAGCCCCUUGUCUUUUGGUACCAGUUGGUGGGCACAGCCGGGUCUGGUUGGCUCACACAAGGCGUGGCCAUCAUCCCCAUCAACUCCUGGGGAGGGAGGCAUUGUGGAGGAGAAAGUCCCUUGAGUUGUGAAUGCCUCCUUUCACUUCCUGACAUCUCUGCUCUGAGAGGAACUUCGCACUCAGGUCAUUCAUUUAUUCGUUAACUUCUACAGUUCUCAGGCACCAUUGUUGUUUCCAUUUCUGGGGACAGGGGAGGGUCUCUGCCCUCAUCUAGAGGAGGAGACAGGCAAAUAGGUGUGGCCACAUAGGGUGGUAAGUGCUUUGAGAGUAGAGAAUUGUUUUCUUCCUCUGAACCUUGCGUUUCGCUCUGACUGUCCCAGUCAGUGGCAUCGUUACCCGCCCACCUGCUCAGCCCAGAAAAUGCUGAGUCAUCUUGCUGCCUACUCGGCUCAGGCCUCCCGGUUGGCCACCGUGUCCUGUCCUCACCCUCACCGUCUCUCUCCCGGGCCAUCACUUCAGCCCCAGGCCUGCCCUCGCCCCUGUCCAGCUUUUACACCCCCGCUGCAGUGCGCCUGGUGCCUGCAUUUGAGAAACAACCAUCGACUGUGAGAUAAUCUGUUGGGGAAGAGACACUGUCGACAAAGUUGGAAGACCAAUGGCCAACUGGGGAAACCCGUGUGUAACCCAUGUGCCACAGGCCUCCUUCCCACAUUUGCCAAAAGCUCACACAAGUUGGGAAGGAAAAGACCCCACCGGAAAACUAGGUAAAGGAUAGGAACCGUGGGUUCAUAAGAAAGAAGGAAAACAAGGAGGGACCAAGAAACUUGGGGGAGGAUGUCCAGUCUCAGUCGUGAUUAAAGAAAGGGAGCAUGAAGCAGGGGGCCUCCAGCUGUCAAAAAGACAAAACUCGGAAAACAGCAGCACCAGACAAAGCUUCCAGCCGUGAUGAGACCCAGUGCCGGCGGAGCAGGUGAGAGUGUGUAGAGCUUCCCGAGGAGACUUCGCUCUUUACUGUGAAAAAUUUGGAACGUACACAAAAGCAGGGAGAGAAUAGUGAAACAGACUGCCGGACGUCCAUUGCCCGGUGUGCUAAUUGUCCUCGUGUUGUUGCUCUUGUCCCUUCUCUCUCUCUGGCUACCAUCUGUUGUGGAGGGGACUAGAGUAUCUUCAAGCAGACUCUCUCCGUCAUUUCAGUUCGCACUGGAAGAAAAUCUGGCAGUAGCUAUCAAAGUGAACAAUGCAUUUACCCUUAAAAAAUUAAAAAAAAAAUGUUUACUCAUUUUUGAGAGACAGAGACAGGCGGAGCACGAAUGGGGGAGGGGCAGAGAGGGAGACACAGGAUCCGAAGC
Molecule: long non-coding RNA, 1936 nt
Organism: Prionailurus viverrinus (fishing cat)
Lineage: Eukaryota; Metazoa; Chordata; Mammalia; Carnivora; Felidae
Exons: 3
Source: RefSeq, a predicted model, not a curated record